This 502-nucleotide ribosomal RNA is filed under the name uncultured Glomeromycotina. Its description in RNAcentral is "partial small subunit ribosomal RNA". It matches the Rfam family "Eukaryotic small subunit ribosomal RNA", at positions 591 to 1092 of the family's 1831-position model. The record is from RNAcentral. Lineage: Eukaryota; Fungi; Glomeromycota.
CCAAUAGCGUAUAUUAAAGUUGUUGCAGUUAAAAAGCUCGUAGUUGAACUUCGGGGUUUACUCAUUGGUCAGGCUUAAUUGUCUGUACUGGUGAGAUGAAUCUCUACCUUCUGAGGAACUUUCAUGCCAUUUAUUUGGUGUGAUGGGAAAUCAGGACUGUUACUUUGAAAAAAUUAGAGUGUUUAAAGCAGGCUAACGUCUGAAUACAUUAGCAUGGAAUAAUGAAAUAGGACGGACUGAUUCUAUUUCGUUGGUUUCUAGGAUCACCGUAAUGAUUAAUAGGGAUAGUUGGGGGCAUUAGUAUUCAAUUGUCAGAGGUGAAAUUCUUGGAUUUAUUGAAGACUAACUACUGCGAAAGCAUUUGCCAAGGAUGUUUUCAUUAAUCAAGAACGAAAGUUAGGGGAUCGAAGACGAUCAGAUACCGUCGUAGUCUUAACCAUAAACUAUGCCGACUAGGGAUCGGAUGAUGUUAAUUUUAUAAUGACUCAUUCGGCGCCUUACG